UACGUAGGGGGCAAGCGUUGUCCGGAAUCAUUGGGCGUAAAGCGCGUGUAGGCGGUCCGGUAAGUCCGCUGUGAAAGUCGGGGGCUCAACCCUCGGAUGCCGGUGGAUACUGUCGGGCUUGAGUACGGAAGAGGCGAGUGGAAUUCCUGGUGUAGCGGUGAAAUGCGCAGAUAUCAGGAGGAACACCAAUGGCGAAGGCAGCACUCUGGGACGUGACUGACGCUGAGACGCGAAAGCGUGGGGAGCAAACAGG
Molecule: ribosomal RNA, 253 nt
Filed under: uncultured bacterium
Lineage: Bacteria
Description: partial 16S ribosomal RNA
Rfam family: Bacterial small subunit ribosomal RNA
Source: RNAcentral